UUCCCUGCCUUUGCCUUCUGGGACUUGGUCUAUGUGGCUAGAGCACUUGCAGGUGAAGACUGAGGCUAAAAAGUCAUCAAGUACCUCAGCCUUCUCCAUAUCCCAGGUGACCAGAUCUUCCAUUUCCUUCUGGAGAGGACCCACAAUUUCCCUAGUCUUCCUUUCACUGCUGAUGUACCUAUAUAAGCCUAUCUUGUAGCCCUUAACAUCCCUGGCCAAAUUUAAUUCUAACGGGGCUUUAGCUUUCCUAACCCGAUCCCUGGCUGCUUGGAUGACAGAGAAGAAGCCUACAGCGUAUGGCUGGAGUUCUCUCCCCUGUCCUCCCCUGCCUUUCCUCCUGUGUUUCUGAGGCAAAGGAUGCAGAAGAGUCCAUGGCACUGUGCAGCCCAUGAUGCCCUUUACCCCUGUUCCCACUGCACUCAUGUCAUACCCUGAUAAAGUCCUUGGAGGAGGGUGCUGAGAGAAAAAGAUGAGCAUCAUCAUUAUUUUGUGGCUAUGCAGAAAUAGUAACAGAGGGAAUCCUGGAAAGCGUGAGCUCCGGCUGAACGCAGUGGGGCUAUCUGCAGGGAUGUCAGUGGGAAUCAAGUCAGAACCGUGCAGUCUGGAGGCGUUUUGGUGAAAGUGGCAGCAGACAAGUGAAGGUUACCAUACUAAUAUCUUCGCCUUCCAAAAGAUAGGAGAAUUUGGAGCUUUUUCCCUUAGAUGGAAGUGACUGCUUGAAAUAGCAAUAGAUAACGAGUCACCUGCAAAGGAAAUUGCCUGCUCCCCUCCCAGCUCCAGCACCAAAGGAGCAAACCAGAACACGGGAGAUGCCAAAGCUGCUGGGCUAAUACAUUGGGAAGCACGAAGAUCAAGAAGAUCUGUUCCUAACACUGUGAUACACACUUGGUGUGUGGAAAGAUCAGUAGGUGGGCUUCCUGGUGUUGAAAUCCAUGAAACUUAAAAGCAGGCUUCCCGAGCACUUCCUGAGCUAACGAAUCGAGAUAUGCAGCAGCAUCAUUUGGUUUGCAUAGCAGAGAGGACAAACCCACCUCCUGAGCAAACAUACCCCGCAAGCAAAGCCAUGAGAUCCAUACUGCAGAAAAUGAAUUCCUCCAGGCACAACCCCCUGAGGGAUGCCCACGGAGCAAUACAAGGACCCCAAGGACUCUCCUGGAAGGACCCCAAAAAUCCCACAGCUUCAUCUGUCUUUGUUUUGAGCGGUGAACAAUACAGUCCUUCAGCAAACCCAGGAGAUGUAUAGUGUCAAACCUGCUGUGUAUCCACCAGUGCCCCAGUUUCCAUCAAGUUUUUGGAGGACCUGGGGAAGGAGCCCUGUGCACGGCACAGUGGCCGGGGCUGCAGUCUGGAUGUUGCCCAGAAACCCGGGAGGAGGAUAUUGCUUA
RNAcentral lists this long non-coding RNA (1385 nucleotides) under Anser brachyrhynchus (Pink-footed goose). Its description in RNAcentral is "lncRNA (ENSABRG00000003934.1)". The record is from RNAcentral. Lineage: Eukaryota; Metazoa; Chordata; Aves; Anseriformes; Anatidae.